Molecule: ribosomal RNA, 958 nt
Filed under: uncultured euryarchaeote
Lineage: Archaea; Methanobacteriati; Methanobacteriota
Description: bacterial SSU rRNA
Rfam family: Archaeal small subunit ribosomal RNA
Source: RNAcentral
GGUUACUCUGAGUGACUUUCGCUAAGAAAGUCUUUUGGCACCUCUAAAAAGGGUGCAGAAUAAGGGGUGGGCAAGUCUGGUGUCAGCCGCCGCGGUAAUACCAGCACCCCGAGUGGUCGGGACGAUUAUUGGGCCUAAAGCAUCCGUAGCCGGUUCUGCAAGUCCCCCGUUAAAUCCAGCUGCUCAACAGAUGGGCCGCGGAGGAUACUACAGAGCUAGGAGGCAGGAGAGGCAAGCGGUACUCAGUGGGUAGGGGUAAAAUCCGUUGAUCCAUUGAAGACCACCAGUGGCGAAGGCGGCUUGCCAGAAUGCGCUCGACGGUGAGGGAUGAAAGCUGGGGGAGCAAACCGGAUUAGAUACCCGGGUAGUCCCAGCUGUAAACGAUGCAGACUCGGUGAUGGGUUGGCUUCGCGCUAACCCAGUGCCGCAGGGAAGCCGUUAAGUCUGCCGCCUGGGUAGUACGGUCGCAAGACUGAAACUUAAAGGAAUUGGCGGGGGAGCACCACAAGGGGUGAAGCCUGCGGUUCAAUUGGAGUCAACGCCGGGAAUCUUACCGGGGGCGACAGCAGAAUGAAGGUCAAGCUGAAGACUUUACCAGACAAGCUGAGAGGAGGUGCAUGGCCGUCGCCAGCUCGUGCCGUGAGGUGUCCUGUUAAGUCAGGUAACGAGCGAGACCCCUGCUUCUAGUUGCUACUCCUGUUCUCCGGAAUAGGAGGGCUAAUUAGAAGGACUGCCGCCGCUAAGGCGGAGGAAGGAGGGGGCUACGGCAGGUCAGUAUGCCCCGAAACCCUCGGGCCACACGCGGGCUGCAAUGGUAAGUACAAUGGGUACCAAUUCCGAAAGGAGGUGGCAAUCUCGCAAAACUUACCUCAGUUAUGAUUGAGGGCUGAAACUCGCCCUCAUGAAUAUGGAAUCCCUAGUAACCGCGUGUCAUCAUCGCGCGGUGAAUACGUCCCUG